Andrographis paniculata is the source of this 321-nucleotide long non-coding RNA. RefSeq lists it as uncharacterized. The transcript is spliced from 4 exons. The record is from RefSeq and is a predicted model, not a curated record. NCBI's taxonomy places the organism in Eukaryota, Viridiplantae, Streptophyta, Magnoliopsida, Lamiales, Acanthaceae.
GCUGGAAUUCCAAGAAGGGGAUGAAUAAGGUUUUGUGAGGAGGGUUCUGGAGAAUUUCGGGGGGCAGGGGCAGGCGCAGGCGCAGGGAGAAUUCCGAGAAGGGGAUGAAGAAGGUUUUGUGAAGAGGGUUCUGGAGAAUUUCAGGGAUCCAGCGGUCGACACUUGUGUUUGUGUUCUCGACGAGUAAAGCUCAUGUGGAGACGAGGGGAUCCGCAAAGAUCCUUCAAUCUCGAUUUUAAAUCCAAGAUACAUACGAUCGGGAGUGGCCGGAUGAUCGGACGACCGAAUACAUCAUAGGGAGUAAUCCGUCCCUUUCCUUUC